Vicia faba (fava bean) is the source of this 303-nucleotide non-coding RNA. The record is from the annotation of a GenBank genome assembly. NCBI's taxonomy places the organism in Eukaryota, Viridiplantae, Streptophyta, Magnoliopsida, Fabales, Fabaceae.
AUGUUUGUGAUAGUUUUUUUUGUCUUGUUUUCUGAACUAAAUGUUUUUGGUUUUUUAUUGUUUUCCGGAUUUAGGUUAUUGCACAUUAUGCAUGCAAUAUGGAAAUUUUGGUUGUUUUGUUUUAGUGCAAACUGUUUGUUGCACCUGAAUAAUCUAGCUUUUGUUAUUUUUUCUAUAAUCUUUAAUCCUUUCUCUCGGCAGGUAAGCUACACAUCAGGUGGCUACUGGUAUGAGGGGGCCUCCUUAAGUUUUGUCUUAUUGUUGUGUUUGGUCUUUUAUCAUAUCGUCAUAUUGUUUGCUUAA